UCAAACGAGGAAAGACACCGGUGGGAUACCUAGGCACCCAAGACGAGGAAGGCGUAGUAGCGACGAAAUGCUUCGGGGUUGAAAAUAAGCGUAAAUCCGGAGAUUUAGAUAGGUUAACACGAACUGCUGCUGAAUCAUGGGCGAGCGAAACCCAACCUGGCGAACUGAAACAUCUUGGUAGCCAGGAAAAGCAAAGCGAUUCCGUGGCGGCGAGCGAAAUGGGAACAGCUAAACCGUGAAAACAGGGUUGUGGAAACAAAAAGCGUCGUGCUAGGCGGCGGUGGAGUGCCGCACCUAGAUGGCGAGGUCCAGUAGCCAGCAUCGCAACGUAUGACCCGGUAGCAUAGGGCGUGGGAUCCCGUGUGAAUCAUGGGACCACCUUGCAGGCUAAAUACUCUGGGUGAUGAUAGCGAAGUAUUUACGUGAGGAAGGGUGAAAGAACUAUCGGAAGAAAUGAACCUGAAACGUAAGCUCCCAAAGCGGUGGGAGGAGCCUGGGCUCUGACCGCGUACCUGUUGAAGAAUGAACCGGCGACUCAUAGGCGGUGUUGGAUUAAAGACCCACGGGCCAUUCGCGAAAAGCGAGUCUUCAUAGACAGUGUCACUGCUUAUGGACCCGAACCUGGUGAUCUAUCUGACCAGGAUGAGCUUGGGUGAAACUAAGUGGAGGUCGAACCGACUGAUGUUGAAAAUCAGCGGAUGAGUUGUGGAUUGGGGUGAAAUGCCCUCGGGCAAACUGCUAAUUUCUCCCAAAGCACGUUGAGCGCAGCAGUGACUGAACAUCAAGGGUAAGCACUGUUUCGAUUGCGGGCCGCGAGCAGUAAAUCGAGGCAAACUCUGAAUACAGAUAUGACCUCCGUCUGCUGGGGUCAAGGUCGGCCAGUGAGACGGUGGGGAUAAGCUUCAUCGUCGAGAUAGCCCGGAUCACCAGCUAAAACCCUAAAUGACCGCUGUAAAGGUAGGGGUGCGAGACAGCAGGAGGUUUGCUAAACAUACCAUGAAGAGUGCGUAACCGCUCACUGAUCGACGCUCUGCGCCAGUGAACGGGGCUAAACGCGAUCUGCCGGCUGGGAUAUUAAAUGCUCAUCGGUAAGGGCGUUCCGCCUUGGAAACAACCGCGCGGCGGCAGUGGACAAAGCGGAAGCAGAAUGUCAGCGAACGCAAACGUAGGUGAAUCAAUGCCCAGCAAGGGUUCCUCCGCAAGGUUCGUCACGGAGAGAUCAGGGCUAAGAUCGAGCCGAGGCGUGAUCGUGGACAACAGGUGAAUAUUGCUACCUUGUUGGUCGAGGACGGAGGCUGGUUAGCCGAAUGGUUAUCGGUUCAAAACGCAAGGUGUCCCUGUUUUUCAGGAAUGAAGGGUAGAAAAUGCUGAGCAAUGUUCAGUACCAGGCGCUACAGCGCUGAGUAACCCAUGCUAUACUCCCAGGAAAGCUCGAACGACCUUCAACAAGGUGCCUGUGCGAAACCAUUUACAGGUGGGUGGUGAGAUACCCCUGGGGCGCGGACAACUCUCUAAAGACUCGGCGAAAUAUUGUAACUUCGGGAGAAGGGUGCCUCACAAAGGGGUCGCGGUGACAGCCAGGCCGGGCGACUGUUUGCAAAGCACAGGUCUCCGCAAGUCGUAAGACCAUGUAUGGGGCUGACGCCUGCCCAGUGCCGAAGGUUAAGGAAGUUGGUGACCUGAUGAGCAGGGCCGCGACCGAAGCUUGGUGAACAGCGGCCAUGCUUCUGCGGUCUAAGGUAGCGAAAUUCUUGUCGGGUAGUUCAGAGCCCGCACGAAAGGCGUAACGAUCUGGGCACUGUCUCGAAGAGGCUCGGUGAAAUAGACAUGAUAUAUUGAAUGCGGACUACCUGCACCUGGACAGAAAGACCUAUGACUUCCUGUUCCUAAGUUGGCUUUGGGCACUGCGCAGCUUAGGUGGAAGGCUUCGGGGGCGAGCUUAAAAUCAGUGAAUACCACUCUGGAAGAGCUAGAAUUCUAACCUUGUGUCGGACCUGCAGGCGAGGACAGUCUCAGGUAGACAGUUCUACAUGGGGCGUAGGCGCCCAAAAAGGUAACAGAGGCGUGCAAAAGGUUUCUCAGGCCGGACGGAGGUGGCCUCGGUGCAAAACGAAGGAGCUUGACUGCCGAACCCACCGUCGAGCAGGGACGAGAUGACGCCGUGAUCCGGCGGUGCCGAGUGGAAGGGCAAUCGCUCAACGGAUAAAGUUACUCUAAGGAUAACAGGCUGAUCUUUCCCAAACUCCCAUCGACAGAAGGUUUAACCUCGAUGACUCUUCGCCACCUGGGGCUUAAUAGUAUGUUCAAGGGUCAAACGUUCGCCCAUUAAAGCGAGCCGUGAGCUGGGUUCGAACAUCGUGAGACAGUUCGGUCCAUAUCCGGUAAUGUGGGUAGAGCAUUGAGGACCUUUCCUAGUACGAGAGGACCGGGAAGGACACCUCUGGUGCCAGUUAUCGUGCUUACGGUAAACGCUGGGUGGCCAAGUGGAGCGGACGCUGCUGGCAUCAAGUGAUGGCCACCCCAGAUGAGUGCUCUCAUAUUCCGACUUCCCAGGGCCUCCGGUAGCACAGCCGGUUAGCAACGGGUUCUCCGCCCUGCGAUAAGGUGACGAAGUUUAAAUUCAAGAAGGUCACGGCGAGACGACCGUUUAUCAUUACGAUAGGUGUCAAGUGGAGGUGGUGCAGUGAUGAUGUAUGCGGCUAGGCAUCUAACGAACCGGUAGACUUGAACCU
Molecule: ribosomal RNA, 2732 nt
Filed under: Arabidopsis thaliana (thale cress)
Lineage: Eukaryota; Viridiplantae; Streptophyta; Magnoliopsida; Brassicales; Brassicaceae
Description: bacterial LSU rRNA
Rfam family: Bacterial large subunit ribosomal RNA
Source: RNAcentral